RNAcentral lists this ribosomal RNA (490 nucleotides) under uncultured bacterium. RNAcentral describes it as "partial 16S ribosomal RNA". It matches the Rfam family "Bacterial small subunit ribosomal RNA", at positions 30 to 507 of the family's 1533-position model. The record is from RNAcentral.
AUUGAACGCUGGCGGCAUGCUUUACACAUGCAAGUCGGACGGCAGCACAGAGGAGCUUGCUUCUUGGGUGGCGAGUGGCGAACGGGUGAGUAACGCAUCGGAACGUACCGAGUAAUGGGGGAUAACUGUCCGAAAGGACAGCUAAUACCGCAUACGCCCUGAGGGGGAAAGCGGGGGAUCUUAGGACCUCGCGUUAUUCGAGCGGCCGAUGUCUGAUUAGCUGGUUGGCGGGGUAAAGGCCCACCAAGGCGACGAUCAGUAGCGGGUCUGAGAGGAUGAUCCGCCACACUGGGACUGAGACACGGCCCAGACUCCUACGGGAGGCAGCAGUGGGGAAUUUUGGACAAAGGGCGCAAGCCUGAUCCAGCCAUGCCGCGUGUCUGAAGAAGGCCUUCGGGUUGUAAAGGACUUUUGUCAGGGAAGAAAAGGGGCAUGUUAAUACCGUGCUCUGAUGACGGUACCUGAAGAAUAAGCACCGGCUAACUACGUG